Erinaceus europaeus (western European hedgehog) is the source of this 82-nucleotide non-coding RNA. The record is from Rfam. Lineage: Eukaryota; Metazoa; Chordata; Mammalia; Eulipotyphla; Erinaceidae.
UGGUACAGGGGGUUAGACCACUGUGCAAUCGGAGUUCUGGGAAUCAGGUGAUGGAGUGUGUUCUAAGAAGGAACUGAGACCC